This 69-nucleotide transfer RNA is filed under the name Bos taurus (domestic cattle). It matches the Rfam family "tRNA". Rfam says of the family: Transfer RNA (tRNA) molecules are approximately 80 nucleotides in length. RNAcentral also lists the same sequence under 5 other names. Lineage: Eukaryota; Metazoa; Chordata; Mammalia; Artiodactyla; Bovidae. The record is from Rfam by way of RNAcentral.
CCUGAUGGCUCAGUGGGUAAAGAAUCUGCAUGCAAUGCAGGAGACCUGGGUUCAAUCCCUAGGUCAGGA